GACGAACGCUGGCGGCGUGCUUAACACAUGCAAGUCGAACGGAAAGGCCCUGCUUGCAGGGUACUCGAGUGGCGAACGGGUGAGUAACACGUGGGUGAUCUGCCCUGCACUUCGGGAUAAGCCUGGGAAACUGGGUCUAAUACCGGAUAGGACCAUCGUUUAGUGUCGGUGGUGGAAAGUUUUUCGGUGCAGGAUGAGCUCGCGGCCUAUCAGCUUGUUGGUGGGGUAAUGGCCUACCAAGGCGUCGACGGGUAGCCGGCCUGAGAGGGUGGACGGCCACAUUGGGACUGAGACACGGCCCAGACUCCUACGGGAGGCAGCAGUGGGGAAUAUUGCACAAUGGGCGCAAGCCUGAUGCAGCGACGCCGCGUGGGGGAUGACGGCCUUCGGGUUGUAAACUCCUUUCAACCAUGACGAAGCUUUCGGGUGACGGUAGUGGUAGAAGAAGCACCGGCUAACUACGUG
RNAcentral lists this ribosomal RNA (465 nucleotides) under uncultured bacterium. Its description in RNAcentral is "bacterial SSU rRNA". It matches the Rfam family "Bacterial small subunit ribosomal RNA", at positions 28 to 507 of the family's 1533-position model. The record is from RNAcentral.